This 253-nucleotide ribosomal RNA is filed under the name uncultured bacterium. RNAcentral describes it as "partial 16S ribosomal RNA". It matches the Rfam family "Bacterial small subunit ribosomal RNA", at positions 524 to 776 of the family's 1533-position model. The record is from RNAcentral.
UACGUAGGGGGCAAGCGUUGUCCGGAUUUAUUGGGCGUAAAGAGCGUGUAGGCGGCCUGAAAGGUCAGCUGUGAAAACUCGAGGCUCAACCUCGAGACGUCGGUUGAAACCAUCUGGCUAGAGUCCGGAAGAGGAGUGUGGAAUUCCCGGUGUAGCGGUGAAAUGCGCAGAUAUCGGGAAGAACACCCGUGACGAAGGCGGCACUCUGGGACGGUACUGACGCUGAGACGCGAAAGCGUGGGGAGCGAACAGG